UACGUAGGGUGCGAGCGUUGUCCGGAUUUACUGGGCGUAAAGGGCGCGUAGGCGGCGCGGUAAGUCACUUGUGAAAUCUCUGAGCUUAACUCAGAACGGCCAAGUGAUACUGCAGUGCUAGAGUGUGGAAGGGGCAAUCGGAAUUCUUGGUGUAGCGGUGAAAUGCGUAGAUAUCAAGAGGAACACCUGAGGUGAAGACGGGUUGCUGGGCCAACACUGACGCUGAGGCGCGAAAGCCAGGGGAGCAAACGGG
RNAcentral lists this ribosomal RNA (253 nucleotides) under uncultured bacterium. RNAcentral's name for it is "partial 16S ribosomal RNA". It matches the Rfam family "Bacterial small subunit ribosomal RNA", at positions 524 to 776 of the family's 1533-position model. The record is from RNAcentral.